CAAAAAAAUAAACAUUCGUACGAUACGAAACGAAUUCAAAGUUGAGCUGAAUCUGAAUGCAACAAAGUUGCGAAUUAUUAUAAGUAAUUAGCAACUUUAUUUUUUAACUACUUGGUGCAGUGUUUAAAAUAAAGGUUACUGAAGCCAUACUAAUUGAAUAUUUCGUUUCUUGUCAAUACGAAUUCGCCAGUCGGUCAAAAAAUUACAUUGAAUGAUGGACAUGCCCGAGAUUACUGAAUCGAAAAUUAAACUACGGAAGCAAGAAGCCACCGGAGGAGUGACAUGCCUGAAUGAUAUAACACAUUUACGAAAGAUGCUUUCCCCUCAGAGCAGCGACCAAGUUAGCUCAAAUUCGUUUCGGCAUGGGCCACACCGAACAAGAUGUAGAACAUCAAUUUUGUGACGUAUGAUUAAGUAAUAAUUUGUUUGUGGUUUUGAAGUUAAAAACGAAACUUAAUAACAUUUUCGAAGGUAUUCAACAACUACAUAAAUUUAAAUGUACCUUACCCAAAAAUGUUUCCAUUUCUGUCGCAGAGACGAACAAUAAAGUUGGAUUGAAGAGGAACAAA
This is a long non-coding RNA of Armigeres subalbatus, 569 nucleotides long. RefSeq lists it as uncharacterized. The transcript is spliced from 3 exons. NCBI's taxonomy places the organism in Eukaryota, Metazoa, Arthropoda, Insecta, Diptera, Culicidae. The record is from RefSeq and is a predicted model, not a curated record.